GCCUUGGCCCCCACAGGGCAACCGGUGCCCCAACCCCAGCCGGGAGGUCUGGCUGGAGCCCGGGUCCCUCCAGGAUCCCCGGGAUGGGAUGGAGCCGCUGUUUCCGGGCCGUUUCCGCCGGCAUUUCCUCCCGGCUCGGCACCCUCCAGUGCUCCGCCUCCGCCUCCACCUCCCUUCUGCCUCUGGAGGAGGAGCUGGAGACGCUGGGCUGGGCACACACUCACACUAGCUCGCACAGUUACGCACACUCACAUUCUCACGUACAUCACUGCAAAGCCCCCUGUUGCCCACCAAGUCCCAGCUCCCAGCCCCCAGGCCCUUCCUGGUUGGAAUCCCCUGACCCUCACCUGCCCUGGGGGAGCCACAUCUGCCCCAGAUCCACCAACAUGUUUGUCUUCCCUGCAGAGGCCUGGGCUGUAUCCCACCUCCAAGCUGCCCCUUGGGCUGGGCCACCAUCCCAAAUGCUCUUCCCACCUUGCCCCUGACAGAUACCUGUGUGCCCUCCCCAGCCCCCUCCUCCCCACUCUGCCCCACCCACCUGGGCUGGGUCCCUCACACUGCCCCCCAUGCCCAACCUGGGCAGGAAACACAAAAGAGGUCUGUGAGCUUGUAGGGAUCGAGAGGUCUGGCUUCAGAAGACAGUGGUGAUGACGGGGGUUGGAGGGCCAGAACUAGAGAGAGACAGAGGCCAGAAGAUUCUGCACAGGGCUGGCAGUACAGGAAGGAGAAGGGGGGGAACAGGUUCAGUGCAGGGGUUGCAAGCUGACUGCUGCCACCUUGGCAUGGGGGUGGGGGAGUCUAAGGCUGGAGGGGGACAGGGAAGCCUGAUGAGAAAGGGCCCGGAGCCAGCGUGGGUGAGGCCCCUGGGGAAGUAAUAAGGAAGAGGAUGUUAUGGGGGUGAUAUAAAAGGAACAUGAGAAGUGGGGAAGGAUCAGGUCCGAGAGCAGGUUCACUGGGGUACAGAGAGGGACAAUGUUUCCUCAGGGACCCCUGAAUUCCCAGACCCAGCUCAGCCUGAAGACCAGCCCGUCUCCUCUUUGCCACCUCCCCGUCUCUGCUCUGUUGAAGAGUCAACCAACGCCUCAAGAGGACCCCGCUCAGAGGGCAGCUGAGGGACAGACACGCACGGGGGUCUGCACUGCGCCACUGCCACUGACUGAAACCCCCAAAAGGAGCCCAGGGAUGCUGCCCAGGCUGUGAACAGGGAAGCGGCGCUGUGGGGGCUGCCGGCAGCCGGGGCUGGAGAGAGACAUGUGGACACGUGGCCACCAUGGCUCCCGCCUGCCAGAUCCUCCGCUGGGCCCUUGCCCUGGGGCUGGGCCUCACGUUCCAGGCCACACCACGGCAUGCCUUCCGGUCUCAAGAUGAAUUCCUGUCCAGUCUGGAGAGCUAUGAGAUCGCCUUCCCCACCCGCGUGGACCACAACGGGGCGCUGCUGGCCUUCUCACCCCCUGCUCCCCGGAGGCAGCGCCGGGGCACGGGGGCCACCACCGAGUCCCGCCUCUUCUACAAGGUGGUCGCACCCAGCACCCAGUUCCUGCUGAACCUGACCCGCAGUCCCCGCCUGCUGGCAGGGCACGUCUCCGUGGAGUACUGGACACGGGAGGGCCUGGCUUGGCAGAAGGCUGCCCGGCCCCACUGCCUCUACGCUGGCCACCUGCAGGGCCAGGCUGGCAGCUCCCAUGUGGCCAUCAGCACCUGUGGGGGCCUGCAUGGCCUGAUUGUGGCAGACGAGGAAGAGUACCUGAUUGAGCCCCUGCAAGGUGGGGCCAAGGGACCUCGGGGCCCAGAGGAAAGUGGUCCCCAUGUGGUGUACAAGCGCUCCUCCCUGCGCCACCCGCACCUGGACACAGCCUGUGGAGUGAGAGACGAGAAACCGUGGAAGGGGCGGCCGUGGUGGCUGCGCACCCUGAAGCCAUCACCCGCUAGGCCUCUGGGGAACGAGACGGAACGAGGCCAGCCAGGCCUGAAGCGCUCGGUCAACCGAGAGCGCUACGUGGAGACACUGGUGGUGGCUGACAAGAUGAUGGUGGCCUACCAUGGGCGCCGAGAUGUGGAACAGUACGUGCUGGCCGUCAUGAACAUUGUUGCCAAACUUUUUCAGGACUCAAGUCUGGGAAACAACGUUAACAUCCUUGUAACGCGCCUCAUCCUGCUCACAGAGGACCAGCCCACACUGGAGAUCACCCACCAUGCUGGGAAGUCCCUGGACAGCUUCUGUAAGUGGCAGAAAUCCAUUGUGAACCGCAGUGGCCACGGCAACGCCAUCCCGGAGAACGGCGUGGCCAACCAUGACACGGCAGUACUCAUCACGCGCUAUGACAUCUGCAUCUACAAGAACAAACCCUGUGGCACGCUAGGCCUGGCACCCGUGGGUGGGAUGUGUGAGCGGGAGAGGAGCUGCAGCAUCAAUGAGGACAUUGGCCUGGCCACAGCGUUCACCAUUGCCCACGAGAUUGGACACACGUUCGGCAUGAACCACGAUGGCGUGGGGAACAGCUGUGGUGCCCGUGGCCAGGACCCAGCCAAGCUCAUGGCUGCCCACAUCACAAUGAAGACCAACCCCUUCGUGUGGUCAUCCUGCAGCCGCGACUACAUCACCAGCUUUCUGGAUUCGGGCCUGGGGCUGUGCCUCAACAACCGGCCCCCCAGACAGGACUUUGUGUACCCAACAGUGGCGCCUGGCCAGGCCUACGAUGCAGAUGAACAGUGCCGUUUCCAGCAUGGAGUCAAAUCGCGUCAGUGUAAAUACGGGGAGGUCUGCAGCGAGCUGUGGUGCCUGAGCAAGAGCAACCGGUGCAUCACCAACAGCAUCCCGGCCGCCGAGGGCACACUGUGCCAGACGCACACCAUCGACAAGGGGUGGUGCUACAAGCGCGUGUGCGUCCCCUUCGGGUCAAGGCCAGAGGGCGUGGACGGGGCCUGGGGCCCGUGGACCCCGUGGGGCGAUUGCAGCCGGACGUGUGGCGGAGGCGUGUCCUCCUCCAGCAGGCACUGCGACAGCCCCAGGCCAACCAUAGGGGGCAAGUACUGCCUGGGCGAGAGACGGCGACACCGCUCCUGCAACACAGACGACUGUCCGCCAGGCUCCCAGGACUUCAGGGAGAUGCAGUGCUCUGAGUUUGACAGUGUCCCCUUCCGUGGAAAGUUCUACACAUGGAAGACAUACAGAGGAGGGGGCGUGAAGGCCUGCUCACUCACGUGCCUAGCAGAGGGCUUCAACUUCUACACGGAGCGGGCGGCGGCCGUGGUGGACGGGACACCCUGCCGCCCCGACACAGUGGACAUCUGCGUCAGCGGCGAGUGCAAGCACGUGGGCUGUGACCGGGUCCUAGGCUCUGACCUGCGUGAAGACAAGUGCCGUGUGUGUGGUGGCGACGGGAGUGCCUGUGAGACCAUCGAGGGAGUCUUUAACCCAGCCUUGCUGGGGGCCGGGUACGAGGAAGUCGUCUGGAUCCCCAAAGGCUCUGUCCACAUUUUCAUCCAGGACCUGAACCUCUCUCUCAGUCACCUGGCCCUGAAGGGGGACCAGGAAUCCCUGCUGCUGGAGGGGCUGCCUGGGACCCCCCAGCCCCACCGCCUGCCCCUGGCUGGGACUACCUUCCAGCUGCGACAGGGGCCAGACCAGACCCAGAGCCUAGAAGCCCUGGGACCUAUCAACGCAUCUCUCGUUGUCAUGGUGCUGGCGCGGACAGAGCUCUCCACCCUGCGUUACCGCUUCAAUGCGCCCAUUGCCCGCUACGCACUGCCUCCCUACUCCUGGCACUACGCACCGUGGACCAAGUGCUCCGCCCAGUGUGCAGGCGGCAGCCAGGUGCAGGCCGUGGAGUGCCGCAGCCAGCUGGACAGCACAACUGUGGCCCCGCACCACUGCAGUGCCCACAGCAAGCUGCCCAAGAGGCAGCGUGCCUGCAAUACAGAGCCCUGCCCACCAGAUGCACCCCCAGCUGUGGGCCCGGCCUCCGCCACCGUGUGGUCCUUUGCAAAAGCGCUGAUCACCGUGCCACGCUGCCCCCUGCACACUGCCCACCCGCAGCCAAGCCGCCGGUCACCAUGCGCUGCAAUUUGCGCCGCUGUCCCCCGGCCCGCUGGGUGGCGGGCGAGUGGGGCGAGUGCUCUGCGCACUGCGGCUUUGGGCAGCAACAGCGCACCGUGCGCUGCACCAGCCACAUGGGCCAGCCAUCGCGAGAGUGCACCGAGGCGCUGAGGCCGCCUGCCACACAGCAGUGUGAGACCAAGUGUGAGAGCGUGCCUGCUGGGGAUGCCCCCGAAGAGUGCAAGGAUGUGAACAAGGUCGCCUACUGCCCCCUGGUGCUGAAAUUCCAGUUCUGCAGCCGAGCCUACUUUCGCCAGAUGUGUUGCAAAACCUGCCAGGGCCGCUAGGGGG
Molecule: RNA transcript, 4387 nt
Organism: Loxodonta africana (African savanna elephant)
Lineage: Eukaryota; Metazoa; Chordata; Mammalia; Proboscidea; Elephantidae
Gene: ADAMTS10
Gene name: ADAM metallopeptidase with thrombospondin type 1 motif 10
Exons: 24
Source: RefSeq, a predicted model, not a curated record